Molecule: long non-coding RNA, 2100 nt
Organism: Aquila chrysaetos chrysaetos
Lineage: Eukaryota; Metazoa; Chordata; Aves; Accipitriformes; Accipitridae
Exons: 6
Source: RefSeq, a predicted model, not a curated record
CACCCAGCUGAGCAGGGGAUACAGGCAGGAAAGAGGGGCCAGGCUGCAGGAGAGAGAGGAAUGAGAAAAUACAGACAGGGAGCGAGAAAGAGAAAGAAAAAAAUAGUGGAGAGAGGGAGGAAUUAAAAAAUGGGGGCAGGGAGCCAGACAGAGUGCGGUGGGGAGAGACCAAAAAUAGCAAUUCUGGGCAACUGCCCCCAUUUCUUGAGCACUCCCCAGGAGCUGCAUUACCGGGAGCCUCAAGGAAUGUGCUGCCUGCCAAAGCCCUGCCCUGGGCCCAGUCCUGUGCCCUAGUAUUGGUGAAGAGCAUUGCCUUGCACAGUGGCAAGGACUGAGGGAAGAAGAGGACAGCUGGGGGGGGAAAAAUCACCGAACUGGUUUUUGGUUUUUGUUUUGUUUUUUUUUUUCUUGACGGUUUUGCUUUUAAAAAGAAUAGUAUUUAAGCUCUAAAUACAAACUGCAAGGAAAAGGAACCAGGGGUACCAGUCUGGACACAUUUAAAGCCUGAACCCAUUCAACAGCUGCACCAACCACCACUCCUGCUGCACACACUCCACCGCCUGCCUGCAGGCUGGGUUAAAGACUCAUCCAUCAAGUGGUGGCUCAGGACCAUGCCGGGGCAAAUGGCACUGCUUUUCUGAAUCCCAUGGCAGCGAUGGGCAAAGGAACAGGGAGACCCAGUGGAGACGUAGCGUGCGCUGGAGAGCGUCCUUCAGGGAGGUGACAGCCGAUUGCACAGCAACGCUGAGACCCACCUGACAGCAAAGGCGCCUGGUGGCCACGGACGACCCUAGUGAUAAAAAACCCCCAGAGACAAACACAAAACGCUACCCCUGGAACUUCCUCUGAAAUUAGAGGUGGAGAGAUCCAUGUGGACAUGCUCAGUCACAGAGGCAAAAGGACAAACAGGAAGCAUGGUAUGCACCAAGCACACCCAGAGCUGCGCCCGUGCCAGGAGAAGACUUCAAGCACAGGCAGGGCUGAUGGCGACAGUUCCCACCAGCUGUCCAGCUCCAGAAGAUGCAGGUAAGAUGCCACAGAGGGGAGAGCAACCGGUUGUCACUUCUUCUCCAGGAAGAGGAUUUAACAGCAGAAGGGAGGCAGGAACAAAAGGGCUUUGGAAGUCCAAAAGUGCAUCAGGCAGCUGGAGCAGUUGUGUGACAGCAGAGGAAGAAGAGAAGGAGAUGCAAGUGACCUGGCUGGGGCAAUGCUUCCGAGGUAACAUCUGCCACACAAACACAGAGAAAGAUGGAGGCAUUGGGAGGUCAUGGAAUGGGUGAGAAAGGUGCCUGGGCAAGAGGAGAGCACGGGGAGAUGGGAGGCAGCGAUGGAGAUAGAGGGGGAAAAUCCAGGGUGUUGGAAGUGAGGACGCUUCUGCUGUGCAGAGGCUUUCUGUAAAAGCUCUGAGUUCAUGUACUGGCUUUGGUUUUCCCAGGCUGUGCUUUGUUGAGCCUCAAAUGGGGCUUCUGUUCUCGUCCAGAUUUUUGCUCUGAAACUAUUCAAGUGCUGAGGACUGGGAUUUUCCAACAGCAUCAUAUUUCUCUUUGGGCUUUGUCCCGAUCCAAUGUCGGGGAAGGUUUCGAUAUGAUCCCAAGAGCGAGAUUAAGACACAAACAAGGUCAAAUGCCGUAUAGUCAAAAGAGCUUUUAUUAUCAAAAGUAUCAAAAGUGGAAAAUGGUGGCGAUAGGAUAGAAUGGAAGAAAAGGUAGAAAUUAAACAAGCAGUCAGGAUAGGAUUGCUAGGAUAGUCACUACCACGGAUCCAGUGGCAUCCCAUUGGUCCUCAGGCAAGUAGUCGGUGGUGGGAGUUGCAAGGAGGGUCACCACCACAGAUCCAGCGGCGUCCCGUUGGUCCUCAAUCUUCAACUCUUUGGUGGUGAAAAAAGGCUGCCACAGCUUGUCUCUACGGGUUUUUAUAGGGCAUAUUUCAAUGAUGUCAUGCGCUGCAGGUUUCGUCUAUCACAGGACCUUCGCGUGAUGGACACCAGAUCAGCUCCAGCCCCGUUCCUCCCCUGGAUGCCUCAAUGGCCUGGUAAUCAUCCUUAUGGACAGAGGAAUGUCCUGCUUAAACAGGCCAUCUUAGAGACAAAGGGCUCGAGAU